AAACCACUCACCCAGCGCAAAGUACUUUAUCUCCGUUCUGGCACCAAUUACGGGUAGACUUUCCAACAAGCAGAAGGUUCACCAUCAUGUAGAAAAUAGUCCACAUAAGUGCUGCUGAAUUGUAGAACGUUUCAGAGUUGUUUGAACGGGUUCACCGUGUACAACUACGUUCCUGGAUGAUACAUAGAACGGGUACAUUCCCUGUGAAUAUGAAAAUGUAGGUAACGAAAUAAAUAAUGAAAGUACGCGAUUUGUUGAGUUGAAAUUACACCAAUGUAAAAAUAAAAACGAAAAAAAUUAUAAA
Cinara cedri is the source of this 304-nucleotide non-coding RNA. NCBI's taxonomy places the organism in Eukaryota, Metazoa, Arthropoda, Insecta, Hemiptera, Aphididae. The record is from the annotation of a GenBank genome assembly.